This 296-nucleotide ribosomal RNA is filed under the name Metagonimus otsurui. RNAcentral's name for it is "partial small subunit ribosomal RNA". The record is from RNAcentral. Lineage: Eukaryota; Metazoa; Platyhelminthes; Trematoda; Opisthorchiida; Heterophyidae.
UGGUUUGUGGAUGAAGAAUAGGGGGUAGAAUCUUUAUUUUAUGGCUGUUUCUCUGCAGUUCAGUUAGAAGGCUAUUUGUAAGAUGGGGAUUAGAGACCCCCGUAUUGAGUGGGUUAUUUUGUGUCCAUAGUUUAAACUAAAAAAACUUGGCAGCUGAUGAGGUUCUUCCGGGGGAGUGUGUGUCGUAAGAGAUAGUCCGCUUAGUUAUUUACCGCCUCCAGUUAAGUUAGUGUAUAUCCGGCUUAAUAUUCGUGGUUAGCGCUAGGGGUGGAUCUAAAGUUAGUUAAGUCAGGUCG